UGUGAACCUUACCUAUGUUCUGUUGCCUCGGCGGCGUCGGUCAGCGCCCCUCUGAGAAGAGGACGAUGCCCCUCCCGCCGGCAGCACCAAACUCUUGAAUUUUACAGCGGAUUACAGUUCUGAUUUGAAAACAAAAAACAAGUUAAAACUUUCAACAACGGAUCUCUUGGUUCUGGCAUCGAUGAAGAACGCAGCGAAAUGCGAUAAGUAAUGUGAAUUGCAGAAUUCAGUGAAUCAUCGAAUCUUUGAACGCACAUUGCGCCCGGCAGUAAUCUGCCGGGCAUGCCUGUCCGAGCGUCAUUUCAACCCUCGAACCUCCGUUUCCUCAGGGAAGCCCAGGGUCGGUGUUGGGGCGCUACGGCGAGUCCUCGCGACCCCCGUAGGCCCUGAAAUACAGUGGCGGUCCCGCCGCGGUUGCCUUCUGCGUAGUAAGUCUCUUUUGCAAGCUCGCAUUGGGUCCCGGCGGAGGCCUGCCGUCAAACCACCUAACAACUCCAGAUGGUUUGACCUCGGAUCAGGUAGGGUUACCCGCUGAACUUAAGCAUAUCAAUAAGCGGGAGAA
This 562-nucleotide ribosomal RNA is filed under the name Scedosporium apiospermum. Its description in RNAcentral is "eukaryotic LSU rRNA". The stretch from base 147 to 300 matches the Rfam family "5.8S ribosomal RNA". Lineage: Eukaryota; Fungi; Ascomycota; Sordariomycetes; Microascales; Microascaceae. The record is from RNAcentral.